Molecule: ribosomal RNA, 715 nt
Filed under: Microbacterium trichothecenolyticum
Lineage: Bacteria; Bacillati; Actinomycetota; Actinomycetes; Micrococcales; Microbacteriaceae
Description: bacterial SSU rRNA
Rfam family: Bacterial small subunit ribosomal RNA
Source: RNAcentral
GGGAGUAUCCAUCCUACCAUGCAGUCGACGGUGAACCAGGGGCUUGCCUCUGGGGAUCAGUGGCGAACGGGUGAGUAACACGUGAGCAACCUGCCCCGGACUCUGGGAUAAGCGCUGGAAACGGCGUCUAAUACCGGAUAUGAGCUUCCAUCGCAUGGUGGGGGUUGGAAAGAUUUUUCGGUUCGGGAUGGGCUCGCGGCCUAUCAGCUUGUUGGUGAGGUAAUGGCUCACCAAGGCGUCGACGGGUAGCCGGCCUGAGAGGGUGACCGGCCACACUGGGACUGAGACACGGCCCAGACUCCUACGGGAGGCAGCAGUGGGGAAUAUUGCACAAUGGGCGCAAGCCUGAUGCAGCAACGCCGCGUGAGGGAUGACGGCCUUCGGGUUGUAAACCUCUUUUAGCAGGGAAGAAGCGAUAGUGACGGUACCUGCAGAAAAAGCGCCGGCUAACUACGUGCCAGCACCCGCGGUAAUACGUAGGGCGCAAGCGUUAUCCGGAAUUAUUGGGCGUAAAGAGCUCGUAGGCGGUUUGUCGCGUCUGCUGUGAAAACCCGAGGCUCAACCUCGGGCCUGCAGUGGGUACGGGCAGACUACAGUGCGGUAGGGGAGAUUGGAAUUCCUGGUGUAGCGGAGGAAUGCACAGAAAUCCCGAGUAAUACCGGUGGCUACGUAAAUUUUUGGGAGCGCACCUGACGCUAAAGAGACUUUGCUGGUC